Molecule: ribosomal RNA, 253 nt
Filed under: uncultured bacterium
Lineage: Bacteria
Description: partial 16S ribosomal RNA
Rfam family: Bacterial small subunit ribosomal RNA
Source: RNAcentral
UACGGAGGGAGCUAGCGUUGUUCGGAAUUACUGGGCGUAAAGCGCACGUAGGCGGCUACUCAAGUCAGAGGUGAAAGCCCAGGGCUCAACCUUGGAACUGCCUUUGAAACUAGGUAGCUAGAAUUCUGGAGAGGUCAGUGGAAUUCCGAGUGUAGAGGUGAAAUUCGUAGAUAUUCGGAAGAACACCAGUGGCGAAGGCGACUGACUGGACAGAUAUUGACGCUGGGGUGCGAAAGCGUGGGGAGCAAACAGG